AGUGAACGCUGGCGGUAGGCCUAACACAUGCAAGUCGAACGGCAGCACAGUAAGAGCUUGCUCUUACGGGUGGCGAGUGGCGGACGGGUGAGGAAUACAUCGGAAUCUACUUUUUCGUGGGGGGUAACAUAGGGAAACUUACGCUAAUACCGCAUACGACCUACGGGUGAAAGCAGGGGAUCUUCGGACCUUGCGCGAUUGAAUGAGCCGAUGUCGGAUUAGCUAGUUGGCGGGGUAAAGGCCCACCAAGGCGACGAUCCGUAGCUGGUCUGAGAGGAUGAUCAGCCACACUGGAACUGAGACACGGUCCAGACUCCUACGGGAGGCAGCAGUGGGGAAUAUUGGACAAUGGGCGCAAGCCUGAUCCAGCCAUACCGCGUGGGUGAAGAAGGCCUUCGGGUUGUAAAGCCCUUUUGUUGGGAAAGAAAAGCAGCAGGUUAAUACCCCGCUGUUCUGACGGUGCCCAAAGAAUAAGCACCGGCUAACUUCGUG
Molecule: ribosomal RNA, 492 nt
Filed under: uncultured bacterium
Lineage: Bacteria
Description: partial 16S ribosomal RNA
Rfam family: Bacterial small subunit ribosomal RNA
Source: RNAcentral